GAUGAACGCUAGCGGCAGGCCUAAUACAUGCAAGUCGGACGGGAUCCAUUGAUAGCUUGCUAUCAAUGGUGAGAGUGGCGCACGGGUGCGUAACGCGUGAGCAACCUGCCUCCAUCAGGGGGAUAGCCUCUCGAAAGAGAGAUUAACACCGCAUAAUAUCAACAGUUCGCAUGUUCAGUUGAUUAAAUAUUUAUAGGAUGGAGAUGGGCUCGCGUGACAUUAGCUAGUUGGUAGGGUAACGGCUUACCAAGGCGACGAUGUCUAGGGGCUCUGAGAGGAGAAUCCCCUACACUGGUACUGAGACACGGACCAGACUCCUACGGGAGGCAGCAGUAAGGAAUAUUGGUCAAUGGGCGGAAGCCUGAACCAGCCAUGCCGCGUGCAGGAUGACUGCCCUAUGGGUUGUAAACUGCUUUUGUCCAGGAAUAAACCUAAAUACGAGUAUUUAGCUGAAUGUACUGGAAGAAUAAGGAUCGGCUAACUCCGUG
This 488-nucleotide ribosomal RNA is filed under the name uncultured bacterium. RNAcentral's name for it is "partial 16S ribosomal RNA". It matches the Rfam family "Bacterial small subunit ribosomal RNA", at positions 28 to 507 of the family's 1533-position model. The record is from RNAcentral.